GAGCACGAGGCGGCCUCGCCCAGCGGCCCGACACCCCUCCGGCUGCGCUUCGACACCUCGGGACGCGGACUGGGGACCCCGGCCCGGGCAGGACCGCCCUCGGAGCGAUGCAACAGGUGCGGCGGGCGGCAGCCGGCAGACAGAGGCGGCCGACCGGGCACCCCUGGCGGCGCCGCCCCCACGCCCCGUGCCCGCUGGCGCGGUCUCUCUUCGGCACUCAGCGGGAGACCCUCACCGCAACAUGGCGGCGGACAGCGCCCCACCGGCACCUGCCCCUGCCGCCUGCGGGCGGGCCGCGCCCCACCCGGACGGGGCCGCAGCGCGGCGGGGUUGGCGGUUGCAGAGCUGGAGAGCGGGAGAGGGAAGGAAGAGCAUUUGCUGCUAGUGCACGGGCGACCCGUGGGCUUGGUCGCCGGUCUGUAACGGCUGCCGUGUCGUUUUGUUUCUUUUUUUGAAGCCCCAAAUCAAUUACUUCGAGCAAAAGGCAGGAUGGAUUUUUGUAUUAAAGCACAUAUUCAGCGUGAAAUAAAAGUUUGAAAAUCCACCUAAGUUUAGAAGCUACAAAGCGAGAAGGCUGCUUCAGCUGGCCGUGCUCUCGCAUCAUGAUUGUGCAACCUACCAAGCAACCCAUUCAUAGCCACGCAGACGUGACGCACUGUGCCUGUGCCCCCUGCUCCUUGCCCUUCAUCCACCGCCAUGCUCCUGCAGAGCCCCCAGCUGCUUUACCUGCAGGAGCUGCGGCCUCCCGCCCGCUGGGGUGUGAGAACAGAUCGUGUUUACGUUGUCACGGGCAACGGACCAUAGGACACAGGUCUUCCGGUGUGCCGGCAAUGGCAUGCAGGUGAGCUGCGAGGUUAAGGGAACGUGCAGAUCCAAGCUGCCGUCUUCAACAUCCUCGUUUCAAGAAAAGGAACGGGAAGCUUCAAGACAAGGUCCUGCAUCAGAGGUGGUGCUAGGCAGUCACUGGUAGUGCCACAUUCAAGUAAAAGAAUCGCCUUUGCUUCAGGUUUGAGAGAAGGGGGGGGAGCAGAGACUGGUAGAAUUCACAGCUAUAUUCUCUUCUUGUUGAGUGAUCCUAGGAAGCAGGAGAGGGAUUUACUGUCAAACCCGAGCCAUAUGUCAAGCAGCUUGCAAAAGCAGGUGAGAAUAAAACAGAGCUAAAUGGCUUCUGAGGGAGAUGAGAUAAAACAUUUUUGGGAAACAGCUGCAGCCUCUGUUUUCAGAUAGAACGAUCCCACUGAGAUGAACUUUAAUCAGAUUAAUUUAACAACAUACGGUUUGUGAGGAGACUUCCUCAUUUAAGCAAUAAGUUAAUGGUGGGACUCAUGCCUCAUUCAGUAGGAUGGUACUGGAUGUGGAGCAGGCUGGAACAUCACUGUUUUGGGCAGACUACUGAGGGCAAGAAACAAUUGUAAGGAAUGCUGUAAGAAGCUAGUUGUUGCUAGUUGGAACCCCAUGUGGUGGUCUUGGAUUAUUUUGGGGGGGCAUAUAGGUGCAAAAAGCAUAUAGGUAUUUUUCAUUCCUUCCUGUUAAUACCAUCAUUUGUCUUGAUCGAAAAAAGAAUUUUUAUUGCAGUUACCAUUGCUUCCUAACUACAAAGAGGCAGAGGCAAAAGGAAUUUAGGUGACUAAUAAUUAAAUGUGGCAACAUACAAUCUCUAGGUUCCUGUUUGCCACAGCACAUAACCCUGUGCCAUUCUCCCACAAUCACCUGCAGUAUAUGGGGAAAGAUAGAUACCUCAGUGGUAUCCAUAACUACCAGCUUACUCAACACCGCUCCACCCAAACCCAACCAACGAGAACAUGUUGAACCUAUACAGGCAGAACUGUCGUCUGUGGAAGGGGAAAGAACAAUUGCCAUGUUGGAGCGUUCGUUAGAGACCCUUAGGCUCCUUCCUGGGCUUUUGCCUUUUGCAAGGUGUGUUUUCAAACCACUUUUGCUACAGAGCACUGUGAGUUACUAAACUCUCGGUUCAGCAGGGCAGCAAGUUGUCUUUGUUGAAGUGAGAAACUCUCUUCUGGGUCCCUGAGUUUCUUCCUUUACAUUUCACUCCCUACUUCACUCCCCAAAUGGAUGGGAAGGUAUAUAAUGCUACCCCCUCCUUCCCUUUUAUACAAGUCUAUUCAUCCUUUGCAGAUGCAGUAGAACCAGACUAGGUCACGUCUCCAGAGAGGGGAUGAAAGCUAUCCGUUCUGUGGCUUUCUUGACAGUGUCCUGACAGUCAUCACACUGAAUUGUUGGAGCAUGGGCAUCGUGUGUAAUGCUGAUGAGCACUAUCUGAUAAUGCUUACAGACUGAAUCGCCAUUUGAGUCGGGAGUGAAGGAACAUGAGAGCAGGCAUGAAAUCAGCUCUCAUCAGGCAGUCUAGGGCAGAAGUAGAAAUAUGAAGAAACAGAUACAAAUGUAGAAGCUUGGGAGAUUUACGUACAAAAAAAAAAAUAAGAAUACACAGUUGGUUCUGGAGUUAGGCAUUAGCUAAGCAGGAGAAAGCUUUUAUAGGCACCCUAACUACAGCAUUUUGUGCCAGACCUCACAGUCAAGCAUAAGACCCAAAUCAAAAUGAAGCCUUUAAGUUACAGGAUUAACAGCUGCUCUGAUCCAACACUUGUUCUUAACCCGCUCUAUUAAGAGUAUAGCAUUACUAAUAACUUACAGGAAUUACUAAAGCAGGGGAGGUGAUGAAAGGACCUAGAUUGCUCAGCAGGUCAGUAGCAGGACCCAGUUUCUGUUUUCUUCCCUGUAACAGCUCCCCGGCCUUAGUGCCCUCUAACCAAACUGUAUUUUAGGAUCUUCCAUCUGUUUUAAGGAGAAAAACAAUUUAAUUCUGCUGUUCUGCUUGUAAUAACAUUUCAACUUGAUUUAAGCAUUUAUGAAUUCAAAGAAUUGGACAGAAUUUUCUCAAGAAAAUCCUAUCAUUAUAAAGUGGUUUUGCUUAACAGAUUUGGCGCUAGCCAUGUUUUAGUUAAAAUACAUCUUCCUAAGUGUGAUUAUCCUGAAAUUAGGAAGCAUGGACUCUUAUGUCCUAAAAACACCCCUCUUGGUUGCCCACGCAAAAUCAAUGGUCUCACUAAGAGGCAGGUUUGAAUUCCUUGUUUCUGAAUAUAAGAAGUGUUAUACACAUUUUCCAAGCAUGGUUGGAAUAGUCUUGCAGCAUCUCUGGUACUUUGUUUGCAGUUUUACUCCUGGGAUUUUUUCUAACUGGAAACAUAGAGUGACUUACUUUUGUCAACUUACAGGCCACGCAUUCAAUAUAGCAGAUAAAAGAAAGGAUACCAUAUUCUGAACCACUUUGUAUAGGUUUAAAAUCAAGAGGAUUGCUUUCUUUGUCAAUUCUAAGAGCUGUAGGAGGAAAAGUAAUCCUAUGGUAUUACUGACAGUAUCUUCUGUUUCGUUGUGCAUGACUGUGAAUAGGCAGUUCAUUCCCAGUUAGAAUUCCUGAAACACUGGCAUUAUAAUUCCCGCACUGUCACACUCCAGGAAGAGUGGCCAAGGAUCUGCCAAGUUCCCGUUCUGCUUGAACUGAGAGCUCCUUCCUUACUACUCCCACUGAGCUUAAUGAAAACCCGACAAAUUCAGGUCACAGCGGACGAGCGUUUUCUUUCAAAGCACUGUUGACAUUCUCCAGGUUUCUUUUGUUUCUUUUGAAGGGGAUAUACAUGGUAAAAGAGCCCAAAGCUUGUUCCUCAUUUUCUGUUGUUCCUUAAAUGAGAAGUUUCUGCCAAGUUCAAUUAACGUGUUUUUCCAGUAAGUGUGAGUUUGUGCUAAGAAAUAGGUGAAUUCAGGCCUGGAAAUAAACGCUGUUAAAUGAUCCAAUAGUUACAUGCUGGAAGACCCUUAUCUUUGCAUUCAUUUUGUUUUCCAGCUGCACCCACAAUUGUUCCUUGAGAUUACAUGAUGCUCCGCUUGACCAUCGUGGAGUUGUACAUACUAGAUGAAUGCAGUUUAAACAUGCAUGUGAGCAGGCAAGGAAAAGCUAUGGUAAUCGUCUCUGUAACUGAAAUCCACAGAGAAUUCUUGAUUUUAUUAAUGAAAAUAAAUAAAAAAAUAAAAAAGUAA
Long non-coding RNA from Gallus gallus (chicken), 4056 nucleotides. RefSeq lists it as uncharacterized. The record is from RefSeq and is a predicted model, not a curated record. The transcript is spliced from 2 exons. Lineage: Eukaryota; Metazoa; Chordata; Aves; Galliformes; Phasianidae.